GAAUGCAUUGACACUACUUGGGUGGUGUGAGGCAUGGGAUCAGUACACUCGAACUUUGAAAAUCUGGGAAGGAACCAUAACUUUACCAUCUUAUCCAAUGUUUUUUUGUGUACCGAUGCCUUCAGCAAUGCUAUUUUUUACUGAUACAUUUCUGAUUGAUGAGCUUCAAAUUUGAUGAGAAGAGAUCACCCGUUUAUCACAUUGUUGAGGAGACAUUCCCUCAUCUAUUCAUAACAAGCUUGUCGAGAUUGUCAACCCGCCAUUGGAUGCUGCAGAUUUGAUCCAGCUUAUUUGUAAAAUAUUUGGUCAUCCAUAUAUGUUCGUUCUUAGAUGGAGAGAUUUGCAGUCUAACUUUAUACAUGGGUUUUCAUUCUAGGUGGUGUUUUAAUAGUUAUCAUUGUUCUCAUUUCAUGUUAUGCUUAAAUUCAUUUUGGAUAAAUUGCAAAUAUCUAUCUUGAACUAUUGUCCAAGUAACUAUAUCUUGGAAAGUUUAAAAUUGAGCAAUCAACACCUUAACAUCACUUAAAAUUCCAAAUAAUCCUCUGCUGCUCAAAUUACUGUCAAAGUAAGAGCAAAUUAACAGAAAAGAGAAAUAGAAAAAGCUGAAGAGAGCUUUGGUUCACCUUUUUGUUUGUUUGUUUGUUUUUGUUUUGGAAAAGUCUUGGAGAAGAGGAAGUUUUUUACCCUAUUUUCAUCCUUUUUUCAUAUCCAAAUUGAGAAUGGCUGAUUUCUUUAUUUAGAAGAUGACUUUUAUAUAUCAUUUGGGUUUGUUGUUUGUUCUUUUCAGUUGGAGAUUCCAAAGCAGCUAUUUUAUCCAAACGUGUUCAAUGCGUGGAUGAUUCUUUUCUUAAAUAUAUUGGGGAGUUCCGUUCCCUUGGAAGGGCGGCCUGCUGAUCCCGAGCUUAGGAAAUCAUGGCGAUGGUGGAAGGUCAAGAAAUGGACGAUUCACAUUUUAAACAGGUUGUACACUUGAUUUGAACCUUCAAAACCCAGAAAACACAGCUUUUGCUCAAAUGUUUCAUUAGAAAUAUGCUGGAAAGAUCUUGGAGUGUCACAUAAAUUUGCUUAUUGUGAUUCGUGUUGGUGGCUAUUUAUCCGACAGAGUUAUCAACCUUAUUCUUCAGUACCUAAGCAACAGGUCCUAGUUGUACAUGCUUCAGAAGGAAGCUCUGGUUCAUGCCUUCCAAGAAGCCACAAAGAUUAGAUUGAAAUUGUAAUAGGUCUCUUUACCUCCUGUAUUUGUUCUAAAUUUUACAUGAAUAAAUUGCUAAAGAUUAUGAUUUCUGCCUAUGAUCUGUAAGAACUAUUUAUAUACACAGUGGUAAGCCAUUUCACUUUCAAUCAAAAAGGUUAGAA
This is a long non-coding RNA of Quercus robur (English oak), 1356 nucleotides long. RefSeq lists it as uncharacterized. Lineage: Eukaryota; Viridiplantae; Streptophyta; Magnoliopsida; Fagales; Fagaceae. The transcript is spliced from 4 exons. The record is from RefSeq and is a predicted model, not a curated record.